GGUGGCUCAGUGGUAGAGUUCUUGCUUUGAAUGCAUGAAGUCCUGGGUUCAAUUCCUCAGUACCA
This 65-nucleotide transfer RNA is filed under the name Dipodomys ordii (Ord's kangaroo rat). It matches the Rfam family "tRNA". Rfam says of the family: Transfer RNA (tRNA) molecules are approximately 80 nucleotides in length. Their secondary structure includes four short double-helical elements and three loops (D, anti-codon, and T loops). Further hydrogen bonds mediate the characteristic L-shaped molecular structure. tRNAs have two regions of fundamental functional importance: the anti-codon, which is responsible for specific mRNA codon recognition, and the 3' end, to which the tRNAs corresponding amino acid is attached (by aminoacyl-tRNA synthetases). tRNAs cope with the degeneracy of the genetic code in two manners: having more than one tRNA (with a specific anti-codon) for a particular amino acid; and 'wobble' base-pairing, i.e. permitting non-standard base-pairing at the 3rd anti-codon position. Lineage: Eukaryota; Metazoa; Chordata; Mammalia; Rodentia; Heteromyidae. The record is from Rfam by way of RNAcentral.